UACGAAGGGGGCUAGCGUUGCUCGGAUUUACUGGGCGUAAAGGGCGCGUAGGCGGACAGUUAAGUUGGGGGUGAAAGCCCGGGGCUCAACCUCGGAAUUGCCUUCAAUACUGGCUGUCUUGAGUGUGAGAGAGGUGUGUGGAACUCCCGAGUGUAGAGGUGAAAUUCGUAGAUAUUCGGAAGAACACCAGUGGCGAAGGCGGCUCACUGGCCCAUAACUGACGCUGAGGCACGAAAGCGUGGGGAGCGAACCGG
RNAcentral lists this ribosomal RNA (254 nucleotides) under uncultured bacterium. RNAcentral's name for it is "partial 16S ribosomal RNA". It matches the Rfam family "Bacterial small subunit ribosomal RNA", at positions 524 to 776 of the family's 1533-position model. The record is from RNAcentral.